Molecule: ribosomal RNA, 254 nt
Filed under: uncultured bacterium
Lineage: Bacteria
Description: partial 16S ribosomal RNA
Rfam family: Bacterial small subunit ribosomal RNA
Source: RNAcentral
UACGAAGGGGGCUAGCGUUGCUCGGAAUUACUGGGCGUAAAGCGCACGUAGGCGGCUUUCUAAGUCGGGGGUGAAAUCCCGAGGCUCAACCUCGGAACUGCCUUCGAUACUGGCGACCUUCGAGUCCGGGAGAGGUGAGUGGAACUCCGAGUGUAGAGGUGAAAUUCGUAGAUAUUCGGAAGAACACCAGUGGCGAAGGCGGCUCACUGGCCCGGUACUGACGCUGAGAUACGAAAGCGUGGGGAGCAAACAGG